CGAAGCAACCGUUGAUGGAAGACCCGGGCCGAAGCUGAAACCCUAAACCCAGACUCAGGGCCGAGGAAGCGUUGAUGGCCGAAGCAGGAAGGCGAGCUUACGAACUAUGACAGAGCGCGACAGAGCUUGAGCGGCGACGAGAGCUUGAGGCAGCGACGAGCUUGAGGGGGCGACGCGAGCUUGAGGGAGAGAGUGGCGAGAGAAGAGAGAGGUGAGAUGGGUUCUGAUUCUGGGUUAGGGCACCACGCAAAGGGGGUAAGUGAGGGAGAGAACCAAGGUUCUGAAAACCGGACCGGUUAUCAAACCGCUUUAGUCACUGGUUCACUGGUUCAUUGGUCUAACCGGUCCAAC
Molecule: long non-coding RNA, 351 nt
Filed under: Arachis ipaensis
Lineage: Eukaryota; Viridiplantae; Streptophyta; Magnoliopsida; Fabales; Fabaceae
Description: long non-coding RNA (AIPA_LNC002200)
Source: RNAcentral